UUGUUAGGUCCUAUGUGUUGGCAAGUUUCGUGGGUCGAGUCGGAGUCUUGAAGAAGUCCGGAGCGGAAUAUUGAAGAUCGAAGAAUUCAAGACUACGAAGAAUCGGAAAGGACGCAAAACACGUAAAACAUGAAUCACGAUGUUUAGGUAAGCUUUAAAUCUUGUUUAUGGUGAUUCAUACUUAAUUAUAGAUCUUAGAAUCAUGUUUUCAAGUUGUAAGUGGUUAGAAAGUUUCUAAGAGCUUGUAAAACUCAAAACAAUGCAUUUUCAGCAAAAAUUGCAUUGUUGUACCGGUACAAGGGUUUUCUGUCCAGGG
Molecule: long non-coding RNA, 316 nt
Filed under: Ananas comosus (pineapple)
Lineage: Eukaryota; Viridiplantae; Streptophyta; Magnoliopsida; Poales; Bromeliaceae
Description: long non-coding RNA (ACOM_LNC043767)
Source: RNAcentral